CGUUUGAUGAUCUGUAGAUAGUCCGUCUACCACUUAAACACGUGAAUACUCGCGUGACUUUACUAGGCAAAAUGAGAAUCGCAAUUCCUUCCUAAUCCCAGGUUCUCUCUUCUUGAAAACCCUAAAUCCCCAAAUCUCUCUGCUAAUUUCAUACAAGAGGAAGAAGCUUUCCUUGAAGUUUUCCUUGAAUUUAUCGAAAAUUGCAAUUCCUUGCAAAAUCAGGUGAUGGCAUUUACAAUGAAUCACUAACUUCUCUGAUGUGUUGCCAAUUUCAUAAUUCUGGUAAAAUUUCGGGAUUGCACUGAAUUGCAAUGAACUUUCGGCAUAUUCGUUCUUUUUACUCACCUCUUCCAGAACAUAAUAAGUGUGAAUUAUGAGGGUUUUGCUGAAGGUCUUAGUUUCUGGGGCGAAAGUCGGUGAUAAAUUCCUCGUAGACGGGAAUGGAUUGGCUGGAUAUCGAUUCUAGUAUUGCUGAGAGGGUUGAUUUUGUUGCCACUUCUUUUGUCAAGUCUACAAAAGGGAAUAAGGGAUUAAUUAUCUUAAGAGUUACAUUACUGCACGAUCUGGUGACAGGAUUGGCUGGAUAUUUUGGUAUUGCUGAGAGGGUUGAUUUUAUCGCCACCUCUUCUGUGAAGUCUGCAGAAGUGAUUGAUCGUCUUAAGAGUUAGAUUACUGCAUGAUCUGGUGACAGGUAAUUUUUUUUGCUCUGAUUAGCGAAAAUAAAAAGAAAGAAAAGAAAACCUACACCAUUUCGGUAAUUAAAGGACUGCAUGUUCAACAUCCAAACCUUGUUGCUUUGAUCGUAAGCUGAGUGCUUUGUGUGGUUUUUUUAAAGCUGUGCACCGGGAAGUUCAUGUGCUAGCACUCUUUCACCCCUUCUUUUUGGGUUAUGUUUGGACUAAAGCAAUGAUUGUGGAACAGCCAUUAUGGUGACGGUUACUGUUUUUUUAUGGGAAAACAUAACACUCGAUAACGGCCAUUAUAUUAUAAUGGGGAUAAUGAAAAUAACAUUCGCCUUUUAAUAUUCUUUCCUUUUCUUUGAUCCGUGACUGUUAUAGCUGUUAUAACGGUAACGACCUCCUACCAUCGUUUUAAAACCUUGGUCUGGUGUGGUUGUAGAAAAAAGAUAGGAAAACAAAGAUUAAAGCUAGCGUAUAAGCCAAAUUGUAGAAAGAAAACAUAGCAUUGUCACAGCCCACAGUCCCACACAGCUUACCUCUUUCGCUUUCUUCUUGUGUCUGGGUAAUGAAGUAGGAAGGGUAAAACAUACAAAAGCGGAAUAGACCGAGGCAUAUAUCAUCUUGGUAUAUAUACUUGGGGUAUGACGUCCCAAAAAUUUCUCUAUAGCACAAUCUAGUAUGAGUUUUUGAACAAAUAGGUUAUCCUUUAAAAGUACCAAAUGUGUAUAGUUAAUAGAUGCUAUGGAAAACUCUAGAAAACUUCUAGCAUAUAUGACCCGUGUUAGACAUGAGUAGUUAGGGUGUAUAUGGCUUUCUAUUAACUGCUUAUAUCUAACACAUGUACUACAUGUUAUAAGUUUUCUAAACUUCAGGACAUUGCAUUUUCAUAUUCAGAGAGCAUCUCAGAGGAGAUCUGCAACUCUGCCCAAAAUGGCCGACAACUUAGAAUUCUGAUACCUUUGUUGAUGAAGUUUCCCAAGUUUUACUAUCAAGUUUCUGCUUUUGUUCAUUUAGGUUCUUUUCCAAUUCAUGCUGUAAUUAAAAUAGUGUACGUAGUCUAGUUGGCCCUCCUUAUUCGGUCUGCUAUCAGUAAUUCGUUGUACUCCAUUCUAUAUGAAUUUUCUUUAGAUAUUUGAAGAAGUUUUAAUCAAAAUUUUGUAUUGUGACUUUGGUAAUUUUGCAAGGAAUGUGUUUUAUGUGUAGUGAGCUUGGGCACAUUUUUGUUCGUGUCCUGGAUAAAAGUUUAAUCAUACUUUAUGUCCCUUUUUUUGUUUAUAUCGUACAGAAUGUGUUUUCUUA
Papaver somniferum (opium poppy) is the source of this 1979-nucleotide long non-coding RNA. RefSeq lists it as uncharacterized. The transcript is spliced from 5 exons. NCBI's taxonomy places the organism in Eukaryota, Viridiplantae, Streptophyta, Magnoliopsida, Ranunculales, Papaveraceae. The record is from RefSeq and is a predicted model, not a curated record.